Delphinapterus leucas (beluga whale) is the source of this 3330-nucleotide non-coding RNA. NCBI's taxonomy places the organism in Eukaryota, Metazoa, Chordata, Mammalia, Artiodactyla, Monodontidae. The record is from RefSeq and is a predicted model, not a curated record.
AUUUGGAGAUUUCCUUUACCAAGUUUACAUUAAAUAUAAAUACUCCUGAUUUUAACUUUUAAACUUAGGUCUUAUAUGUCCUUAUUGUGCAGCAGCUCCUGGACUCUACUCACUGUAGCCCUCAGAGGAUGAAUGUAUGUCUCAGGAUUCAUCCAGGCUUUUGAUUAAUCAGAACGUACUUCCUUCUCAAGUUUUGUGAGAUUAGUUCCUUUCUCUUCAAAAUUUCUUAACACAUCUGAUUUUUUAAAAUUCCCUUUGCAAAUAUUUAUCUUCAGUUCGUCUUAUUCACGUUCUUAAAAUUGCUUCGAUGUUACCGUAAGUCUGAAAUGAAGUUUAGCCAUCUUUCUGCUUGUCCUGAGAUUUUAUAUUAUAUUAAUUUAAAAGAUUGUUGAUAACAUUAAAUUUUAAAAAUAGAUGUUAUCCUAUUUGGUGCCACCAAUAAAUCUUAAACCGAAAAGAAUCCUGAUUUUGUGAGCUUGGCACAGGUUAAAGGCAUGUAAAGAAUGUGGACUUCGAAGAAAUUUUCUCUUGAAAAGAACUAAUGAAGUACAUUUCAGUUCCUCAAAGACUAAGUUUGGUUGACGUUCCCUAUCUGUAUACCCCUCUACUUCAUGUUUUUGCUGUUUUGACAGUUCGCCAGUACCUUUCCGCAGUUUACGGGAUGAAGUAGUUGAAACAGUGUCAGUGAAAUUCAAGCUUUAAAUUUUUCUGUAAAUAUGGUAGGAAAAGAGGUUGAACUUAGAAUUUUUUGGUUGUCCAUGUGCUCUAUGUUCACAUGUCAUACAGAUCGUGUGUUGUCACUCAGGAUUCCAGAAGUAGUCAGCCUUGUUAACAUACUGGAUAAGUCUUGAGGAGGUCUUCCACUAGGCUAUGCUUUUUGUCAAAGAACCUCUUUAGAAGGAAGCAAAAUUACAUUGGUUAGCUGAAAGUAGGGAUUACUGCUGCUUUGCCAACUUACAUAUUGUUUUUUCUCCCAGGUUAUAUUUAUCUAAAUGAUUUUGGUAUUUGAAUACUGUAGCCACGGCAAGUGAGCAGUUGAAGACUUCCUUUCUGCACCUUGUAGUUAAGGGUUCACCUUCUCAGAAAAUUAAGUUAUGGUAGAUUACUUUCAUUCUGUGAUUACCCAGAAGUCUAAGUAUCAGGGCCCUAGGGUCACAGCAACCGCACUGCAGGCCUUUGGAAAUGUUGGGAGAGGUUACACUCAAGUAACUGCUAAUGUCCUUCAUCUCUGUUGGAACAGUGUUGGCCUGUGAUUAUAUUUUUCUGAAUCUAAAGACCCAAAUAGGGAUUUCUAAUACCUUGUUUCAGUCUUCUACUUUUCUUCCCAUACAUAAUUUAAAUUCCAUUAUUGUAUAACGUUUCAAAUUAUGACCUUGAUGAAAGGGAGUCUGCUGUUUUGUCAGAAACACUUUCAGUUAGAUGAACAUCAGAAUCUCUACUAAAACAAAACUGAAAAAUGAGGCAGCCUUAAAAGUGCUUAGAUGAACGCUUUUUGAAGCUCAGAAGAGCCAUUAGAUAUACGUAAGACAUUCCGUUAAAUAAAUUUUGAUUUUUAAAAAGUUGAUAUAUUGACUUCUGUCAGCCUGACUUAAUUCCUUAAAUUAAACUGAUUUUCCCACUGGCAGCCAAUGAAUAAAAUUAAUUGUUUCUAUAGAAGUGAGCUCACAAGGUUAAAUGAAUGUUCUCAAAGGUAUACAGUCUUAUUUCAGGAAGAAUGCUCAUGCCCGCUUCACAAUGAAUCAUGCAGAACCAAUUUGGGGUUGCAAGGUGUGACUUCUCUGGAAGCCAAGGCUUUUCAUAAGGCAGUUUGGUAAGAUCUGUAGCACUAAUCCUCAGUGUGCUGGUUGAAGAAACAAAAUAUCUCUAAAGAAAGACAAAGUAGGAAGUAAUUUUAAAAUAUAUUUCCCAGAAUCAUAUCAGCAAAUAAAUGAAAUGUCAUUUUUAUUUUAAGCAAUUCUAGUUGUUAGAAUCCUGCCUCAUUUCUCCCUACUUUCCUUUUGAAAUAUUCUCUAUUACUAAAUAAUAUUAUAGGAAGAAUUCAAAGAAUUAAGAGAUGACUGUUACCUCUGACAUCUGCAAAUUUAACUUAUACAGCUAACAUAAUUGUGUGCUGAUUUUGUUUCUUCGAUGGUGACAGGGCAUAUAUGAGAUUCUCAGUCUACAGAAUUCGAAGGUAGGGUUCUAUUUUAUUACGUCAUGUACCAAAAAUUCCAUUUGGCUAAAUUGAGGUACAUUUUUUUACACAGACUUGCAAUUUUUAGAUGCCCCACAUUUCCUUUUUUAUACUAUCAGCCUCAUCCAUCUGUAGAAAAACUAAUAGUACAGUAUUUCGUAGUCUGUCCUGUAUAUGUACAUAGGAAACUUCCCUUUAAAUAUUAAGAGCCUUUUAAAAACUGCGGACAGAAAAGGAGUUCAUUAUAAAUUCAAAGCAAAUAAUGACCGUUGGGAAUUUAUUGUUAUAUUAACAUGAAGCUUUUUUGUUUUGCCAUUAGGCGUCAAGAGGACAUGAUAAUUGAAAUCUUUAUUUUAACUUUAACUCUUAUUAUAAUGAUUACCUUAUUUUCAUUCUGAUUUUUUGGUUUUCUAAAAAAAACUGUGUUUUAUACAUCUUAGGAACUAAGCAUCAUUUUUAAUGUCAUUGCAUUUAAAAAACAAGACUUUCCUAUAAAAUUUCCUAUAUGAUAACUAUACAUACUAGAAUGGCAACUAAUGAAAUCAUUGACAAAAAUUUAAGGAAAAAUUACAUAUGAAAAGGAAUUAGUAUUCUCCGGUUAGGCAUACUUGCCGAAAUGCUAAAGUGAAAUGGCAAAAUAUCCAAUGAAGACAUUUUGAAUUUUUGGUAACAUGAAUUAUUUUAUUUUUCAUUUGGGGGUUUGGAGUGGAGGAGCACUCAGAUGAAGACAGCAUUUCCUUCAUGAUGUUUUAAAGUUGGAAAAGAAAACCUUCCAAAUGGAAAUUUUUAACAAGACCUGUGUGCUUGCAUAAAGGAAGCCAUAUGAGCCAACAAUCUUGGGUCUUUUGAUCAGGAUGUUAACUCCUACCUUGAAUCAAUUUUCCUCCUGGAGUAGAAUGCUAGGAUACUUCACAGAGAAAUACUACAGUCUUGGAUUUGUUGCCUCCUUCCUGCCUGUGUUUCUUUGUGAGUUGGCCACCACUGCGACUUUCUGGCAGACAAGCAGAGUUCCAGAUAGAGGCUGAUACAUUACCCUGGGUCCUGAAAUGAAGAGGAUGUGAAGCAGAGCCUUAGCUGAUCCAUGAUGGGCAUGAAGCAUGAAUGAGAAACAAACCUUUGUUGUUAUAAGCCACUGGAAUGUCAGGCUCAUUUGUUAC